RNAcentral lists this ribosomal RNA (216 nucleotides) under Glomeromycotina sp. RNAcentral describes it as "partial small subunit ribosomal RNA". The stretch from base 54 to 216 matches the Rfam family "Eukaryotic small subunit ribosomal RNA", at positions 700 to 864 of the family's 1831-position model. The record is from RNAcentral. Lineage: Eukaryota; Fungi; Glomeromycota.
GGGUCAGCAGGUUGGUCGUGCCACCGGUACGUACUGGUCUCACUGACUCCUCCUUCCUGAAGAACCGUAAUGCCAUUAAUUUGGUGUUGCGGGGAAACAGGACUGUUACUUUGAAAAAAUUAGAGUGUUUAAAGCAAGCUAACGCUUGAAUACAUUAGCAUGGAAUAAUGAAAUAGGACGAUCGAUCCUAUUUUGUUGGUUUCUAGGAUUGACGUA